UGGUGGAGUGAUUUGUCUGGUUAAUUCCGAUAACGAACGAGACCUUAACCUGCUAAAUAGCCAGGCCGGCUUCGGCUGGUCGCGGGCUUCUUAGAGGGACUGUCGGCGUCUAGUCGACGGAAGUUUGAGGCAAUAACA
This 138-nucleotide ribosomal RNA is filed under the name uncultured eukaryote. RNAcentral describes it as "partial 18S ribosomal RNA". It matches the Rfam family "Eukaryotic small subunit ribosomal RNA", at positions 1299 to 1458 of the family's 1831-position model. The record is from RNAcentral.